AGGUACGUUCAUACUUUGCUGAAAACACCAUAUCCCGUCCGAUUUGUGAAGUUAAGCAGCUAUAGGCCACGUUAGUACUAAGGUUAGUGAUAACUUGGGAACCCGCGGUGACGUACCUCAAACCAACUUUUUUUUUCUCGGUGCUCUCUGCGAAGGCCCCCUCCUUCCCUCCCCUCCCUCCCUCCUUCCCCACGGAGGCUCUUCCGCGCGCGUGGGCCAGCCGAACGCGGGAAGACCGCCCACGCGCCCCACCCCCGCGCGGCAAGCCCACCGCGCAAGCCACCGCCCAGCAGCAGUCGCUCGGCGCUCCAGCUACCUUGGAGCGCGCGCGACCCAGCCCCGCGAACCAGGGCCCCGCUCGCGCCCGCCCCUCCCCCCUCACGCCGUGCGCGACCCACGUCGAGCCCGCCGCC
RNAcentral lists this unclassified non-coding RNA (413 nucleotides) under Leptomonas sp. Nfm. The record is from RNAcentral. Lineage: Eukaryota; Euglenozoa; Kinetoplastea; Trypanosomatida; Trypanosomatidae.